GGUUAAGCGACUAAGCGUACACGGUGGAUGCCCUGGCAGUCAGAGGCGAUGAAGGGCGUGCUAAUCUGCGAUAAGCGCCGGUAAGGUGAUAUGAACCGUUAUAACCGGCGAUACCCGAAUGGGGAAACCCAGUGUGACUCGUCACACUAUCAUUAACUGAAUCCAUAGGUUAAUGAGGCGAACCGGGGGAACUGAAACAUCUAAGUACCCCGAGGAAAAGAAAUCAACCGAGAUUCCCCCAGUAGCGGCGAGCGAACGGGGAGGAGCCCAGAGCCUGAAUCAGCAUGUGUGUUAGUGGAAGCGUCUGGAAAGGCGCGCGAUACAGGGUGACAGCCCCGUACACAAAAGCGCAUGUGCUGUGAGCUCGAUGAGUAGGGCGGGACACGUGGUAUCCUGUCUGAAUAUGGGGGGACCAUCCUCCAAGGCUAAAUACUCCUGACUGACCGAUAGUGAACCAGUACCGUGAGGGAAAGGCGAAAAGAACCCCGGCGAGGGGAGUGAAAAAGAACCUGAAACCGUGUACGUACAAGCAGUGGGAGCCCCACCACCAAAGCAUUCUCUGGUGUUGAAGGCCCUGCAAAGCAGCAUCGCGGUGGCGGAGCGUCGUUUGCGACGCCCAACACACAAAACAAGCGGU
RNAcentral lists this ribosomal RNA (637 nucleotides) under Salmonella enterica. RNAcentral describes it as "partial 23S ribosomal RNA". It matches the Rfam family "Bacterial large subunit ribosomal RNA", at positions 1 to 594 of the family's 2925-position model. Lineage: Bacteria; Pseudomonadati; Pseudomonadota; Gammaproteobacteria; Enterobacterales; Enterobacteriaceae. The record is from RNAcentral.